GGGCUUCGCAACGGCUGUGGGGCCCAGAGCAGCGUCGACGGCAGCCUGCGUUUCCGCACGGGCCAGCAGCCGUGGCCAGCUGCUCGUCCCUAGGGCUUUUCAGCUCCGGGGCAGCAUCUCUGCCGGGCGGACAGACCUGGAGGUGGAGAGCAAGAGAGAGAAGAGACGGAAUACAGAGGAGACAGCGGCUCAGCUGAGCGGACACCGCCUCCCGUCAGGAAGAAGGCUGCGAAUUCCCCGCCGCCGCCUCUGCCACCAACACCAGCGCCGCCACCGCUGCCGCCGACCUCACCGCCGCCACUGCCGCCGCCGCCUCCACCACCAGCGAGCCUGGGCCGGGCAGGGCGCCGAGCGGGCCGUCUGAGGCGCAGGCCGGAGCGGGCCCGGCACCGCAGCGCUGGUGGAGGCCGGGUCUCCGAGGCGACGGCCGAGGCAGGUACAACGGUACCGGAGGAGGCGGCGCCGCCGCUCGUCCCUUGUCCUCAGGAGGGGGCCCAUGGCGAGCGACAAGCCGGUCCGGCCCGGGGCUCGAGCCUCAGCCCGUGGAGCCCAUCGCCGUCCGGGCCGGCAGCGGAGGCGGUGGCGAAGGCGGCGGCGGCAGCGGGAUGGUGAGGCUGAUGGGGCGUCCGGCUCCGACUCCGGCUCCGGUUCCGCUCCCCGCGGGGACGAGUUACCUUUCAGUGCCGAUCAGCACCAUCCAGAUGAAAUUCGCAGUUUGGACUCCUGCAGGUCGGACAGGUCAGCAGCAGGGACAUCGUGGAGAUGGUGCUCAACCUGGCAAUUUCAUUGCCUCCUUUUGCAAAUUGUCCUUAUCACAUUGGCUUCACCCUGAACACUUGGCUUCGUGUGGAUCCAUUAAUAACAUUAAUGUUGAAAAGGAUAAAGCCUCAUUUUUAUUGUUGAAGACUCAGUGGUUCAGUCCUUCCUGCCCAUCAGUUGUGAGGUUUUGUAUGCAAAGAAGUUGGCUAUUUUGCUGGCUCAGUAGAUACAUCAGGAAACUCCAAAGGAAAAGAUUUUCAGCACUGUGUGAAAUAUGA
Molecule: long non-coding RNA, 1037 nt
Organism: Castor canadensis (American beaver)
Lineage: Eukaryota; Metazoa; Chordata; Mammalia; Rodentia; Castoridae
Source: Ensembl